RNAcentral lists this long non-coding RNA (2812 nucleotides) under Gallus gallus (chicken). Lineage: Eukaryota; Metazoa; Chordata; Aves; Galliformes; Phasianidae. The record is from RNAcentral.
GUGGAAAGUUUCUACCUCUCCCGGCCGAGGCUGGGACAAGAGCUGCCCCGGGCGCCGCGGUGACAGGUUUCGCCCCCCUCCCCCUCCCGCAGCACCGGGAACAGCCGCAGCGACCCGGGGGCCGGUUCCUACGCGGCACUUAGCGCAGCGAGCGCUGGCCAACAAACUGAGCGGAGACGACGGGCGAGCAUCCCGCCCGCAGCCGGGGAACCCGAGAAGGACAGGAGCCGGGCAGGGAAGGAGCCAGGACGGGCGGCGGAGGAGGAGGAGGGCCGGAAAGUUGCACUCGGUGCUCUAGCACCGAGCCAAGUCGCCGGCAGGCCGGGACAGAAAAGUUCGCCGCCACAGCGGCCGUGGGAUGGCGGGGAGGAGGCGGGGGGGGGGGACGACUGGGGGCAUCGCUCCUCACCUUCUGGUCGACGAUGGAACAAGCCAUCUCCCGGACAUGGGCCAGGCUGAAGUCCCCUGAGGAGUCCUGCAGCAACAGCACGGGCUCCCGGCUCAGCCCGAUCUGGAGGUGGAAGGCGACGCCGCCGCCAGCAGCGGCAGCAGCAGCAGCCCCGGGCGGCGGCAGCGGGCUAGGCGGGCGGAGCAGCGGAGGAGCGCUCAUCGGGACCAGCCUGCCGCGGCGCCGCGGGGCCGGGGAAGGAGACAGAGACGCGGACGCCGCGGUGAAAAGUUCGCGGCCGCCCCGAAGGCGCCGGGCGAGUUUCUUCGCGAAGUUUCAGGGAAGUCCCGGUCGAGUUGCUCCCGAGUGAAAAUGGCGAGGGGGGGGGAAUAGGGGCGGAGGACCGGAGAGGAUGCAGACAGGAAAAGGCGGCGAGAGAGGAGAGGCGCGAGGAGGGAGCAGGGCCCGGCGCCGCCGAGGUGGUGCCGUCGCUCCGGCUGUUGGCGCUGUGCACGGCGCGGGGGCGGGACGGGCCGCGCCCUCAGCUGGGCCGUGCUGCGCCGCGCCGUUUCUCUACCACACGGCGGCCGCGGCCAGGACUGAGCUCGGCUUCGCGGGCACGGGGGUGUUCUCGUGACGUGUGCUGGGGACCCGCGGGUACCGGAGCUGUGGAGGGAAGAGCAUCCCCUUCCCCUCCCGCCUCCGCUGGAUAGAACCGUCUAAGCAGCCUUCGUGCCUUCCCCGGGACGCCUUUCCGGGCCGCAGGAGGAGGUAGAGCCCGAGGAACCUCCGGUUUGUAGGCAGCACGGAGAGUUCUCAGUGCAUGGCAGGAGGAACGAGGGACAGCCAGCUCCGUAGCCGCGAUAAACAGCUGCGGUUGGUGCUGAGGCGCUCCUGGCCUCCUCAGCGCGGGAACGAGCUAUUCCUCCUGACUUUCAGGAUCAGUGCAAGUCUCACACGUCUGUAGAAGUAGCACCGAUGGCAGGCAACAUUUAAACUUAAAAACAAACAACAAAAACAGCAACAUAAUCUCCACUUGGAAAUCUGUUAAGUCAGUGUGGACAAGAAUAUUUACAUUUUAGGUACCAGAGGUACUUAAAGCAGCUCUUACUGCACCCGAGAAGAUGGCGGCACUGAGUGAAUGUGAGGAUGAAAGUUGAUGAAAUUCACCACUUGUUUCUUUACAAACUGCUUUUCUGACCAAACAUGCAGCUGCAGUACUAUUUCAUUUUGAUGAACUGGUUCCUAAGGACAUGUUUUUACUGUGGUCAGCUUACUUCCCAGCUGAGCUUUGUACACACAUGCAGCACCUUGCUGUCAGUAUUUUUGAACCCAUUUAUUCUUAAGCAAAUUUUCUGACUAAAGUCGUUGCAUUUUGAUCUAAAUCUUCUACAGAAUGCCAAACCUAAUGAAAUGGACAGCACUGUAGAUUAAGAUGAUUCCUAGCUUCCCCUGGUGACUUUUUCUUAUCACAUUAGGAGUAAUAAUCAUCUUCAAGCACAUCCAUUGCCUUUACUGCUGUAAACCAUACUGCUGUCAUUGCCUGCAGCAUUUCUGUAGGAGCAGGUCAGUUGCAGCACAGCAUUGUACCCCAGCUGGUGCAGGUUACCAUUAUGAUGGUCUGUUUCCUCACAGUUUCCAAUGUACUAGACAUUUCUGUUUUGGAGUAUGCACAUUUGCACUCCCCUGUCAAAGCCUGCUGAGGACAACUACUACAAGCUUCUCAUAAUCCUGUGGUCCAGCCAACUGUCCUAUACAGGAAUCGGCACAGAAAGAGCAUGAGGUCUGUAUGCGCAUCCACAAAAGGAAGAGCAUAUGAGGUCAAAAUGCCAUCUCUGAAGGACUGCCAGAAGUUCAAAUGCAAAGUGAUGACAAACAAUGAAUGUCAGGAUUUUUCAGCAAUACUGUGAUAAGUAGAAGAUGGAUAAAUUCAUCCAUUCCAGGCCAAUCAGAAGGAAGAAACAGGAUUGCAGGCAUGCCUACUGAAAUCACUCAACCAAUUGAAGAAACAGAAUGAGAUCUGGAUUAUAGGGUUUCAGAUAAUACCAAGUCCCUUGUGAAAGCUUUUUGACUUCUGAUGACUUCAGUUCAAGUCCCAGUUGGGCUCCUGAUCAGCAGGGUAGCUGAUUUCCCAAUGAAGAAAGAGAGGAAAUGUGUAAACUUGUUGAAGUGCUCCACAAGCUCCAGCUUGCAAACCUCGCAGAGGCUGCAGUCCAUCCAGUGCUCAGACUCUCACCUAAUACAACAUACUAGAAAGAUGGAAUUUGUUCUGGACUUUUCAUACAGCAGGAGGAUGUGAGAUUAUUGGAUACAGUGGGAUACCCACCAUGAGGAAUACAUAGGAAAAAAGAUAACGAAGGCAAUAUCAAAGACCAGAAAUCUUAAGCCACUGAUUGGCCAUGGAAGGAUCUACUCAGAGCCUCC